This 429-nucleotide ribosomal RNA is filed under the name Chloroflexota bacterium. RNAcentral describes it as "Chloroflexi bacterium partial 16S ribosomal RNA". It matches the Rfam family "Bacterial small subunit ribosomal RNA", at positions 355 to 776 of the family's 1533-position model. The record is from RNAcentral. Lineage: Bacteria; Bacillati; Chloroflexota.
UGGGGAAUAUUGCACAAUGGGCGCAAGCCUGAUGCAGCCAUGCCGCGUGUAUGAAGAAGGCCUUCGGGUUGUAAAGUACUUUCAGUCGGGAGGAAGGUGGUAAGGUUAAUAACCUUAUCAAUUGACGUUACCGACAGAAGAAGCACCGGCUAACUCCGUGCCAGCAGCCGCGGUAAUACGGAGGGUGCAAGCGUUAAUCGGAAUUACUGGGCGUAAAGCGCACGCAGGCGGUUGAUUGAGUCAGAUGUGAAAUCCCCGGGCUUAACCCGGGAAUUGCAUCUGAUACUGGCAAGCUUGAGUCUCGUAGAGGGGGGUAGAAUUCCAGGUGUAGCGGUGAAAUGCGUAGAGAUCUGGAGGAAUACCGGUGGCGAAGGCGGCCCCCUGGACAAAGACUGACGCUCAGGUGCGAAAGCGUGGGGAGCAAACAGG